ACGGCUUCAGUAACGCGUAGUCAACCUACCCUAUGGACGGGAAUAAUCUCGGGAAACUGAGCAUAAUACCCGGCGUACCAUCAUUCCUGGAAUGGUUGGUGGUUAAAAUGAUUCGUCGCCGUAGGAUGGGACUGCGACUUAUCAGCUUGUUGGUGAGGUAAAGGCCCACCAAGGCGAUUACAGGUACGGGCUCUGAGAGGAGAAGCCCGGAGAUGGGUACUGAGACACGGACCCAGGCCCUAUGGGGCGCAGCAGGCGAGAAAACUUUGCAAUGUGCGAAAGCACGACAAGGUUAAUCCGAGUGAUUUCUGCUAAAGGAAUCUUUUGCCAGUUCCAAAAAUACUAGUGAAUAAGGGGUGGGCAAGUUCUGGUGUCAGCCGCCGCGGUAAAACCAGCACCUCAAGUGGUCA
RNAcentral lists this ribosomal RNA (410 nucleotides) under uncultured Thermocladium sp. Its description in RNAcentral is "bacterial SSU rRNA". It matches the Rfam family "Archaeal small subunit ribosomal RNA", at positions 83 to 492 of the family's 1478-position model. The record is from RNAcentral. Lineage: Archaea; Thermoproteati; Thermoproteota; Thermoprotei; Thermoproteales; Thermoproteaceae.